Long non-coding RNA from Sander lucioperca (pikeperch), 307 nucleotides. RefSeq lists it as uncharacterized. The transcript has 3 exons. The record is from RefSeq and is a predicted model, not a curated record. Lineage: Eukaryota; Metazoa; Chordata; Actinopteri; Perciformes; Percidae.
UGAUAGGCGGCAAAACCGCCCUGCGCUGACCGUUUGGUUGAUUUCCUAUGGGGAGAGCGGUGCCGCCCAUCUAUGCGCUGCGCUACCCCUGGCGUUUUGCCGCUUUGCGGUGCGCUCAAAGUUUCAAUUAUUUCAACUUUGACCUAGUUGCCGCUGACCUAUAUGAUAUCAGCUAUCGUCACCUAGCAACGGGAAAUAGCUUCCUUGCCACCCUUAAUGACGAAUACCUGCGCUGCGCUUUGCUCUGCGCCCUACCUAGCGGUGCGCAGAGAGCAAAUCGCUUAUCAUGUGUAGGCACCUUUGUGUG